GACUCUCGGCAACGGAUAUCUCGCCUCUCGCAUCGAUGAAGAACGUAGUGAAAUGCGAUACUUGAUAUGAAUUGCAAAAUCUCGUGAACCAUCGAGUCUUUGAACGCAAGUUGCGUCCGAGGCCUCCUAGUCGAGAAAUU
RNAcentral lists this ribosomal RNA (140 nucleotides) under Salix viminalis (osier). RNAcentral's name for it is "5.8S ribosomal RNA". It matches the Rfam family "5.8S ribosomal RNA". Rfam says of the family: 5.8S ribosomal RNA (5.8S rRNA) is a component of the large subunit of the eukaryotic ribosome. It is transcribed by RNA polymerase I as part of the 45S precursor that also contains 18S and 28S rRNA. Lineage: Eukaryota; Viridiplantae; Streptophyta; Magnoliopsida; Malpighiales; Salicaceae. The record is from Rfam by way of RNAcentral.